This 429-nucleotide ribosomal RNA is filed under the name Acidobacteriota bacterium. Its description in RNAcentral is "Acidobacteria bacterium partial 16S ribosomal RNA". It matches the Rfam family "Bacterial small subunit ribosomal RNA", at positions 355 to 776 of the family's 1533-position model. Lineage: Bacteria; Pseudomonadati; Acidobacteriota. The record is from RNAcentral.
UGGGGAAUUUUGGACAAUGGGGGAAACCCUGAUCCAGCCAUCCCGCGUGUGCGAUGAAGGCCUUCGGGUUGUAAAGCACUUUUGGCAGGAAAGAAACGUCAUGGGUUAAUACCCCGUGAAACUGACGGUACCUGCAGAAUAAGCACCGGCUAACUACGUGCCAGCAGCCGCGGUAAUACGUAGGGUGCAAGCGUUAAUCGGAAUUACUGGGCGUAAAGCGUGCGCAGGCGGUUCGGAAAGAAAGAUGUGAAAUCCCAGAGCUCAACUUUGGAACUGCAUUUUUAACUACCGGGCUAGAGUGUGUGAGAGGGAGGUGGAAUUCCGCGUGUAGCAGUGAAAUGCGUAGAUAUGCGGAGGAACACCGAUGGCUAAGGCAGUCUCCUGGGAUAACACUGACGCUCAUGCACGAAAGCGUGGGGAGCAAACAGG